RNAcentral lists this long non-coding RNA (1232 nucleotides) under Homo sapiens (human). Its description in RNAcentral is "HSALNT0342008". The record is from RNAcentral. Lineage: Eukaryota; Metazoa; Chordata; Mammalia; Primates; Hominidae.
CUUCAAUUUUCCAGAUUUAAUGAGUGUCUUUUCAGAACAGAGGACUGUUACAAGAAUGGUGGAGAGAUAUCAGGAAGGUCAUUCCCCUUUCCCCUGGGGAGCUUUAAGCAUGUAUAGUUAGGAUGAAUCACUUAUAUCCAUGCACAAUUAAAUAGGUCUGCUGCAGAGCAACCUGUGAACAAAUGCGGGUCAAAAUAUCAGUAUGUGUAUCCAUGUUGAAGUGAUGCUGAUAAACAGGAAUAAAAAGAAUCAGGUGGAAGGUUUUCAAAACAGUAUCAGUAAAACUGAUGAACUUAAUUUCAUGGGGAGGAAAGGGUAAAAUAUUCUAGCAUAUGCAAAGUUAUGGAAGUAGAAGCAAAUACUUCAUCACAGUCUACCUCAUCACAGUGGAAUAGUAUGUUUUAUUAUUAUAAUCGUUAUUAGUAUUCCUAUUUGAGAAUGGGAGAUGGCUGAACAUGUAAAUUAACCUGCCCCAAGUCACAUAGUGAGUUACCAGUGCAGCUAAAAUAAGUGAUAUUUUAGGAACAGUUUACAUCAUGAAACACUGAAGCUGUAUAUUUUUUCAAUAAAUGAUAGUACUCUAGGUAGUUCUUAGACAACAAUGAGUAGAAACUAAACUAUAUUUUUAAAGGGCUUACUUAAUAAAUAUUGCAAAAGAUAGGGCAAAGAGCUUUCUUAUUCCCCUAGUGAAGAAAGCCAGGGUAUUUUUUUAAAGGAAGAAGAAUCAUUAACAGUAUUUCCUGAAGGAGAAUAAAGCCUUCCAGCCUGCAUCAGAAUUCCACAUUACUACCCGAAUUCUAAGAUUAAGGGUGUGUUUUACCCACACCCUAGAUUUUUGGGAACACAGGCUCAGCAUUAUGUAAGGUCCACUAAGGAGGAUAAUGUGACUCUUCUCUUUACGGGAAAGCCCUUAUCCUGAUCUUAUAUAUAUAUAUAUAUCAUAUAUAUAUCAUAUAUAAAAAUCAUAUAUGAGUCAUAUAUAUCAUAUAUAUGAUUCUAUCUAUAUAGCAAUAUAUAGAUAUAUAUUUCUAUAUAUAAAUAUAGAAAUUAUAUAUAUAUAUAUAUUUCUUUUUUAAAUGCACUUUAUCCUUUAGCCAAACUGCCAGAUCACUCAGAUUGGCACACAUCUAUUUAUCUCUACUGUCAGCUCCUGUAAAUGGUAGCAUUUACCCAAGACAGAAAAAUCUCCUGGAAUAACCAGUAUACUUGUUUCAAUAAUCUGCAGAGCCAUA